RNAcentral lists this ribosomal RNA (253 nucleotides) under uncultured bacterium. RNAcentral describes it as "partial 16S ribosomal RNA". It matches the Rfam family "Bacterial small subunit ribosomal RNA", at positions 524 to 776 of the family's 1533-position model. The record is from RNAcentral.
UACGUAGGGUGCGAGCGUUGUCCGGAAUUAUUGGGCGUAAAGAGCGUGUAGGCGGUCCGAUAAGUCCGCUCUGAAAGCCCGGGGCUCAACCCCGGGAGGCGGGCGGAUACUGUCGGGCUAGAGUCCGGAAGAGGCAAGUGGAAUUCCUGGUGUAGCGGUGAAAUGCGCAGAUAUCAGGAGGAACACCGAUGGCGAAGGCAGCUUGCUGGGACGGUACUGACGCUGAGACGCGAAAGCGUGGGGAGCAAACAGG